AGGAAGACAAAGGAGUGGACAUUUCCGGGACGUACGGCGCGCACUGUGACACGGAGGUCGCAUCUAACUCCCCACACCCCCUGCCGGCAGGUGCUGAGAGUUGGAGGUCACAGCCUAAGUCAGUGACGGAGCUGGGAUUUGAACUCCACACCCCUCAUCUCUCCCCGCUGCCAUGCUGACCAUCCUGGCACGCAGCAAGGGCAGGUAGCAGGUACCUACAAUGUGCCAGACACUCUGGGGAGACGCUGGUGGCUACUGUCCAGUGGGGGACGGAUGUGAUUCAGUUGACAGUGGCACAGACGGGACGGUGGCCCAGAGUUUUUCCGAGGGUACCACAAGGGGACUUGACAUCAACUGGGGGUUCGGAAGGCUUCCCUGAGGGAGAGAUGUCCCAGCUGACCUGCCCCCGGGAGGCGGCCAGGGGAGGACCCGCCGCAGCGCCUUGUCGUGGGAAGGCACUGGGGACACGCCACAUGGGCACCAGCUGAGAGCUGCUUCGGAAGACUGUGCCGCGGCAUCUGUGCCGCGGCAAACAUGGGAAGACAGGACACAUUCUGUGUCCUGCUGUGUAUGGACUGCUCAGGCACAGAGCCGUGAGAACAGCAGAGGCUCGAUCAUCCGCCCUGCAGAGUCGCCUCCACUGCCAUCGACAGUAGAGCCUGCCUUUCUCCCUGCCCCCAGUGCCACCAGGAC
Molecule: long non-coding RNA, 693 nt
Organism: Suricata suricatta (meerkat)
Lineage: Eukaryota; Metazoa; Chordata; Mammalia; Carnivora; Herpestidae
Exons: 3
Source: RefSeq, a predicted model, not a curated record